GGAAAGUUGCAAAGCACUUUGAAGAGAGAGUUAAAGAGGACGUGAAACCGGUAGGAUGGAAACGGAUAGAGCCAGCGAAGUCGGCCGUAUUCAGCCAAAGGCCGUGGGUUCCGGUUUGUCAUGUUGCUAAUCACACGUGGCAGGCUUCUGGGCUUGCGGUUGAGGUGCAUUUGCGGUCGUUUGCGCUGAGACUUGCGGGACAGCUCCCUGACCCUUGUCUAGAGGCAAUCCUAUGGGUUGAACCUUGACGUAGCGAAGGUUGUUUGUUCUGCUCGUAUGGGCUUGGCCUACGGACUCAGGCUUGCCAGCUGUUGGCCAUGGUUGUUGAUCGCAUGCGAUCUCGACCUGGUUGGCUGUUGGUCGGUUUGACGUUCCCUAGCCGAUCUCGGUGUAGAAGCUGGUCAUCUAUCCGACCCGUCUUGAAACACGGACCAAGGAGUUUAGCGUAUACGCGAGCCAAUGGGUGUCAAACCUAAAGGCGCAAUGAAAAUGAAGGCCUAGUCGCUAGGCUUACAUGCGAGUGGCGGGUUUACCCCCGACAUGCAGCAUGGUCCCGUUCUGGUCGCUUGCGACGGAGCGGAGACAGAGCGUAUGCACUGAGACCCGAAAGAUGGUGAACUAUUCCUGAGCAGGACGAAGCCAGAGGAAACUCUGGUG
This 657-nucleotide ribosomal RNA is filed under the name Paratylenchus sp. NL PRS-2020. RNAcentral describes it as "partial large subunit ribosomal RNA". It matches the Rfam family "Eukaryotic large subunit ribosomal RNA", at positions 358 to 869 of the family's 3401-position model. The record is from RNAcentral. Lineage: Eukaryota; Metazoa; Nematoda; Chromadorea; Rhabditida; Tylenchulidae.